This 492-nucleotide ribosomal RNA is filed under the name uncultured bacterium. RNAcentral describes it as "partial 16S ribosomal RNA". It matches the Rfam family "Bacterial small subunit ribosomal RNA", at positions 29 to 507 of the family's 1533-position model. The record is from RNAcentral.
AGUGAACGCUGGCGGUAGGCCUAACACAUGCAAGUCGAACGGCAGCACAGUAAGAGCUUGCUCUUACGGGUGGCGAGUGGCGGACGGGUGCGGAAUACAUCGGAAUCUACUUUUUCGUGGGGGAUAACGUAGGGAAACUUACGCUAAUACCGCAUACGACCUACGGAUGAAAGCAGGGGAUCUUCGGACCUUGCGCGAUUGAAUGAGCCGAUGUCGGAUUAGCUAGUUGGCGGGGUAAAGGCCCACCAAGGCGACGAUCCGUAGCUGGUCUGAGAGGAUGAUCGGCCACACUGGAACUGGGACACGGUCCAGACUCCUACGGGAGGCAGCAGUGGGGAAUAUUGGACAAUGGGCGCAAGCCUGAUCCAGCCAGACCGCGUGUGUGAAGAAGGCGUUCGGGUUGUAAAGCCCUUUUGUUGGGAAAGAAAAGCAGCAGGUUAAUACCCCGCUGUUCUGACGGUACCCAAAGAAUAAGCACCGGCUAACUUCGUG